Molecule: long non-coding RNA, 293 nt
Organism: Cyprinus carpio (common carp)
Lineage: Eukaryota; Metazoa; Chordata; Actinopteri; Cypriniformes; Cyprinidae
Exons: 4
Source: RefSeq, a predicted model, not a curated record
ACCAAUAGAUUAAUUGAAAAAUAUUCAUUGCAAAAUAUUUUAGAUAUUCUAUGCUAAUUAUUGGUAAAACUGAUUUUCUUCUCCCUUUUUUUCAGUGUUGAUUGUCAUCUGAUUGUGAGCUAACUACAGCCCAAAGGCUCUUUUAAGAGCCACAAGCACUGAGGAUCUUUGGCUUUCCAACCUCGACCAAGAUGUCGGUUGAGCAGGAGAUGACAUUGCCUACCACACCACGGGUGAUCAUGCUAGGGAGUAGUCUGCUGUUUGCAACCCACUGGAUGGUCAGCAUUGAGGGG